GACACACUAUCAUUAACUGAAUCCAUAGGUUAAUGAGGCGAACCGGGGGAACUGAAACAUCUAAGUACCCCGAGGAAAAGAAAUCAACCGAGAUUCCCCCAGUAGCGGCGAGCGAACGGGGAGGAGCCCAGAGCCUGAAUCAGUGUGUGUGUUAGUGGAAGCGUCUGGAAAGGCGCGCGAUACAGGGUGACAGCCCCGUACACAAAAAUGCACAUAUUGUGAGCUCGAUGAGUAGGGCGGGACACGUGGUAUCCUGUCUGAAUAUGGGGGGACCAUCCUCCAAGGCUAAAUACUCCUGACUGACCGAUAGUGAACCAGUACCGUGAGGGAAAGGCGAAAAGAACCCCGGCGAGGGGAGUGAAAAAGAACCUGAAACCGUGUACGUACAAGCAGUGGGAGCCUCUUAAUGGGGUGACUGCGUACCUUUUGUAUAAUGGGUCAGCGACUUAUAUUCUGUAGCAAGGUUAACCGAAUAGGGGAGCCGAAGGGAAACCGAGUCUUAACUGGGCGUUAAGUUGCAGGGUAUAGACCCGAAACCCGGUGAUCUAGCCAUGGGCAGGUUGAAGGUUGGGUAACACUAACUGGAGGACCGAACCGACUAAUGUUGAAAAAUUAGCGGAUGACUUGUGGCUGGGGGUGAAAGGCCAAUCAAACCGGGAGAUAGCUGGUUCUCCCCGAAAGCUAUUUAGGUAGCGCCUCGUGAAUUCAUCUCCGGGGGUAGAGCACUGUUUCGGCAAGGGGGUCAUCCCGACUUACCAACCCGAUGCAAACUGCGAAUACCGGAGAAUGUUAUCACGGGAGACACACGGCGGGUGCUAACGUCCGUCGUGAAGAGGGAAACAACCCAGACCGCCAGCUAAGGUCCCAAAGUCAUGGUUAAGUGGGAAACGAUGUGGGAAGGCCCAGACAGCCAGGAUGUUGGCUUAGAAGCAGCCAUCAUUUAAAGAAAGCGUAAUAGCUCACUGGUCGAGUCGGCCUGCGCGGAAGAUGUAACGGGGCUAAACCAUGCACCGAAGCUGCGGCAGCGACACUAUGUGUUGUUGGGUAGGGGAGCG
Molecule: ribosomal RNA, 1055 nt
Filed under: Escherichia coli
Lineage: Bacteria; Pseudomonadati; Pseudomonadota; Gammaproteobacteria; Enterobacterales; Enterobacteriaceae
Also listed under: 1 other name
Description: partial 23S ribosomal RNA
Rfam family: Bacterial large subunit ribosomal RNA
Source: RNAcentral